GAUGAACGCUGGCGGCGUGCCUAAUACAUGCAAGUCGAGCGAACGGACGAGAAGCUUGCUUCUCUGAUGUUAGCGGCGGACGGGUGAGUAACACGUGGAUAACCUACCUAUAAGACUGGGAUAACUUCGGGAAACCGGAGCUAAUACCGGAUAAUAUUUUGAACCGCAUGGUUCAAAAGUGAAAGACGGUCUUGCUGUCACUUAUGGAUGGAUCCGCGCUGCAUUAGCUAGUUGGUAAGGUAACGGCUUACCAAGGCAACGAUGCGUAGCCGACCUGAGAGGGUGAUCGGCCACACUGGAACUGAGACACGGUCCAGACUCCUACGGGAGGCAGCAGUAGGGAAUCUUCCGCAAUGGGCGAAAGCCUGACGGAGCAACGCCGCGUGAGUGAUGAAGGUCUUCGGAUCGUAAAACUCUGUUAUUAGGGAAGAACAUAUGUGUAAGUAACUGUGCACGUCUUGACGGUACCUAAUCAGAAAGCCACGGCUAACUACGUG
This 497-nucleotide ribosomal RNA is filed under the name uncultured bacterium. RNAcentral's name for it is "partial 16S ribosomal RNA". It matches the Rfam family "Bacterial small subunit ribosomal RNA", at positions 28 to 507 of the family's 1533-position model. The record is from RNAcentral.